CGAGGUGAACUAAUAAACAAGCAGGAAUGCGAGAAGAGACAGAGGCUUUACCACAGCAGUCUUAAAGUGUUCAUGUUCGAGUUCCGUUUUAAUGGAAAACUGUGGUGCGUUGAUGCUGCAAAAGAGGAUGGAUCACUUGGAAGACUUGUAAAUGAUGACCAUAUCAACCCUAACACCAAGAUGAAGUACUUCAGCGUGCAAGGAAAGCCCCAUCUAUGUUUGUUUGCAAUACGGGACAUAAGUCCAGGAGAGGAGAUCACCUAUAAUUAUGGUGAUUCUGACUGGCCAUGGAGGAGCAAGGAUCUCGAUGAGGAAAUGCCUCAGAAAAGUCCAGAGACCGAAAGUCCCCCAUCAACAAAAGAAGUUGUUGAACAGAUGACAAGUCACAAAAGCCAGAUUGAGUGGACUGUAAGUGACCUGAACCAGAC
Molecule: long non-coding RNA, 428 nt
Organism: Amphiprion ocellaris (clown anemonefish)
Lineage: Eukaryota; Metazoa; Chordata; Actinopteri; Pomacentridae
Source: Ensembl